CCUACGGGAGGCAGCAGUGAGGAAUAUUGGUCAAUGGACGAGAGUCUGAACCAGCAAAGUAGCGUGAAGGAUGACUGCCCUAUGGGUUGUAAACUUCUGUUAUAAAGGAAUAAAACGAGGCACGUGUGCAUUUUUGCAUGUACUUUAUGAAUAAGGAGAGGCUAACUCCGUGCCAGCAGCCGCGGUAAUACGGAGGAUCCGAGCGUUAGCCGGAUUUAUUGGGUUUAAAGGGAGCGUAGAUGGGUUGUUAAGUCAGUUGUGAACGUUUUCGGCUCAACCGUAAAAUUGCAAUUGAUACUGGCAGUCUUGAGUACAGUUGAGGUAAGCGUAAUUCGUGGUGUAGCGGUGAAAUGCUUAGAUAUCACGAAGAACCCCGAUUGCGAAGGCAGCUUACUAAACUGUGACUGACAUUGAUGCUCGAAAGUGUGGGUAUCAAACAGGAUUAGAUACCCUUGUAGUC
Molecule: ribosomal RNA, 460 nt
Filed under: uncultured bacterium
Lineage: Bacteria
Description: partial 16S ribosomal RNA
Rfam family: Bacterial small subunit ribosomal RNA
Source: RNAcentral